AUUGAACGCUGGCGGAAUGCUUUACACAUGCAAGUCGAACGGCAGCACGGACUUCGGUCUGGUGGCGAGUGGCGAACGGGUGAGUAAUACAUCGGAACGUGCCCAGUCGUGGGGGAUAACGUAGCGAAAGCUACGCUAAUACCGCAUACGAUCUAAGGAUGAAAGCGGGGGAUCGCAAGACCUCGCGCGAUUGGAGCGGCCGGUGGCCGAAUAGGGAGUUGGUGGGGUAAAGGCUCACCAAGCCGACGAUCUGUAGCUGGUCUGAGAGGACGACCAGCCACACUGGGACUGAGACACGGCCCAGACUCCUACGGGAGGCAGCAGUGGGGAAUUUUGGACAAUGGGCGCAAGCCUGAUCCAGCCAUUCCGCGUGCAGGAUGAAGGCCCUCGGGUUGUAAACUGCUUUUGUACGGAACGAAAAGGCUCUGGUUAAUACCUGGGGCUCAUGACGGUACCGUAAGAAUAAGCACCGGCUAACUACGUGCCAGCAGCCGCCGUAA
Molecule: ribosomal RNA, 500 nt
Filed under: uncultured bacterium
Lineage: Bacteria
Description: partial 16S ribosomal RNA
Rfam family: Bacterial small subunit ribosomal RNA
Source: RNAcentral